UUACCACGGUAGGAUUCAUGACUGGGGUGAAGUCGUAACAAGGUAGCCGUAUCGGAAGGUGCGGCUGGAUCACCUCCUUUC
RNAcentral lists this ribosomal RNA (81 nucleotides) under Achromobacter mucicolens. RNAcentral's name for it is "partial 16S ribosomal RNA". It matches the Rfam family "Bacterial small subunit ribosomal RNA", at positions 1454 to 1533 of the family's 1533-position model. Lineage: Bacteria; Pseudomonadati; Pseudomonadota; Betaproteobacteria; Burkholderiales; Alcaligenaceae. The record is from RNAcentral.